UACGGAGGGUGCGAGCGUUGUCCGGAAUCACUGGGCGUAAAGGGCGCGUAGGCGGCUUCUCAAGCGUGUGGUGAAAGUCCGGGGCUCAACCCCGGAUCGGCCGUGCGGACUGGGGAGCUCGAGUUCUGUAGAGGCGGGUGGAAUUCCGGGUGUAGCGGUGGAAUGCGUAGAGAUCCGGAAGAACACCGGUGGCGAAGGCGGCGACCUGGUCCGAUACUGACGCUGAGACGCGAAAGCGUGGGGAGCAAACAGG
Molecule: ribosomal RNA, 253 nt
Filed under: uncultured bacterium
Lineage: Bacteria
Description: partial 16S ribosomal RNA
Rfam family: Bacterial small subunit ribosomal RNA
Source: RNAcentral